Molecule: ribosomal RNA, 468 nt
Filed under: uncultured bacterium
Lineage: Bacteria
Description: partial 16S ribosomal RNA
Rfam family: Bacterial small subunit ribosomal RNA
Source: RNAcentral
GACGAACGCUGGCGGCGUGCUUAACACAUGCAAGUCGAACGGAAAGGCCCUGCUUUUGUGGGGUGCUCGAGUGGCGAACGGGUGAGUAACACGUGAGUAACCUGCCCUUGACUUUGGGAUAACUUCAGGAAACUGGGGCUAAUACCGGAUAGGAGCUCCUGCUGCAUGGUGGGGGUUGGAAAGUUUCGGCGGUUGGGGAUGGACUCGCGGCUUAUCAGCUUGUUGGUGGGGUAGUGGCUUACCAAGGCUUUGACGGGUAGCCGGCCUGAGAGGGUGACCGGCCACAAUGGGACUGAGGUACGGCCCAGACUCCAACGGGAGGCAGCAGUGGGGAAUAUUGCACAAUGGGCGGAAGCCUGAUGCAGCAACGCCGCGGGCGUGAUGACGGCCUUCGGGUUGUAAACCGCUUUCGCCUGUGACGAAGCGUGAGUGACGGUAAUGGGUAAAGAAGCACCGGCUAACUACGUG